Molecule: ribosomal RNA, 493 nt
Filed under: uncultured bacterium
Lineage: Bacteria
Description: bacterial SSU rRNA
Rfam family: Bacterial small subunit ribosomal RNA
Source: RNAcentral
AGAGUUUGAUCCUGGCGUCAGGACGAACGCUGCGGCGUGCUUAACACAUGCAAGUCGAGCGGACCUUCAUUGAAAGCUUGCUGGAUAUGGAGGUUAGCGGCGGACGGGUGAGUAACGCGUGAGCAAUCUGUCCCGUACAGGGGGAUAAUACCGCGAAAGUGGUUCUAAUACCGCAUGAGACCACGACAGGGCAUCCUGUUGAGGUCAAAGGAGCAAUCCGGUAUGGGGUGAGCUCGCGUCCGAUUAGAUAGUAGGUGAGGUAACGGCCCACCUAGUCGACGAUCGGUAGCCGACCUAAGAGGGUGAUCGGCCACAUUUGGGACUGAGACACGGCCCAGACUCCUACGGGAGGCAGCAGUGGGGAAUAUUGGGCAAUGGGGAAACCCUGACCCAGCAACGCCGCGUGGAGGAAGAAGGUCUUCGGAUCGUAAACUCCUGUCCUGGGGAAGAGCAGAAGACUGUACCCAGGAGGAAGCCCGGCUAACUACGUGCC